Molecule: ribosomal RNA, 504 nt
Filed under: uncultured bacterium
Lineage: Bacteria
Description: partial 16S ribosomal RNA
Rfam family: Bacterial small subunit ribosomal RNA
Source: RNAcentral
AUUGAACGCUGGCGGCAGGCCUAACACAUGCAAGUCGAACGGUAGCACAGAGAGCUUGCUCUUGGGUGACGAGUGGCGGACGGGUGAGUAAUGUCUGGGAAACUGCCCGAUGGAGGGGGAUAACUACUGGAAACGGUAGCUAAUACCGCAUAACGUCUUCGGACCAAAGUGGGGGACCUUCGGGCCUCACACCAUCGGAUGUGCCCAGAUGGGAUUAGCUAGUAGGUGGGGUAAUGGCUCACCUAGGCGACGAUCCCUAGCUGGUCUGAGAGGAUGACCAGCCACACUGGAACUGAGACACGGCGCAGACUCUUACGGGAGGCAGCAGUGGGGAAUAUUGCACAAUGGGCGCAAGCCUGAUGCAGCCAUGCCGCGUGUAUGAAGAAGGCCUUCGGGUUGUAAAGUACUUUCAGCGGGGAGGAAGGCGAUGGAGUUAAUAGCUUCAUCGAUUGACGUUACCCGCAGAAGAAGCACCGGCUAACUCCGUGCCAGCCGCCGCAGUAA